This 246-nucleotide ribosomal RNA is filed under the name uncultured bacterium. Its description in RNAcentral is "partial 16S ribosomal RNA". It matches the Rfam family "Bacterial small subunit ribosomal RNA", at positions 84 to 334 of the family's 1533-position model. The record is from RNAcentral.
UUUGAUGGCGACCGGCGCACGGGUGAGUAACACGUAUCCAACCUGCCGAUGACUCGGGGAUAGCCUUUCGAAAGAAAGAUUAAUACCCGAUGGCAUAGUUCUUCCGCAUGGUAGAACUAUUAAAGAAUUUCGGUCAUCGAUGGGGAUGCGUUCCAUUAGUUGUUGGCGGGGUAACGGCCCACCAAGCUCGAUGGAUAGGGGUUCUGAGAGGAAGGUCCCCCACAUUGGAACUGAGACACGGUCCAA